AAAAAAAUGAUGAGAUCCUAAUAGCUGAAUUUCAUGUGGAAUCCUUAUAUCAUAAUGGUCUUCAAAGUUCUCUGAUUGCU
This is a small nucleolar RNA of Manihot esculenta (cassava), 80 nucleotides long. RefSeq annotates it as small nucleolar RNA R160. The transcript has a single exon. The record is from RefSeq and is a predicted model, not a curated record. NCBI's taxonomy places the organism in Eukaryota, Viridiplantae, Streptophyta, Magnoliopsida, Malpighiales, Euphorbiaceae.